UACAGAGGGUGCGAGCGUUGUUCGGAAUUAUUGGGCGUAAAGGGCGCGUAGGCGGUGCCACAAGUCACUUGUGAAAUCCCCGGGCUUAACUCGGGGCCUGCAGGCGAAACUGUGGUGCUGGAGUAUGGGAGAGGUGCGUGGAAUUCCCGGUGUAGCGGUGAAAUACGUAGAUAUCGGGAGGAACACCUGUGGCGAAAGCGGCGCACUGGACCAUAACUGACGCUGAGGCGCGAAAGCUAGGGGAGCAAACAGG
Molecule: ribosomal RNA, 253 nt
Filed under: uncultured bacterium
Lineage: Bacteria
Description: partial 16S ribosomal RNA
Rfam family: Bacterial small subunit ribosomal RNA
Source: RNAcentral